UGCCAGGCUACUACGAACACAUGUUUAGAACUCAAAGAACUUGGCGGUGCUUUAGCCAGCUAGGGGAACCUGUCCUUUAAUUCGAUAGUCCACGAAAAUCUUACCUAUUUUAGUUCUCAGUUUGUAUACCGUCGUCGAAAGCUGGCACCAAAAGGGUUUAGAAGCUAGCAAGAAAGAUUUCUCUCUUAGAAGUCAGAUCAAGGUACAGCCUAUAAAUAGGGAGGAGAUGGGUUACAAUUAAAAAUUUCUAUUGGAGUUCUAAUGAAAUUUAGUUAAUGAAAAGAGGACUUAGAAGUAAUUUUUUAAUUAAAGUUAAAAAAUGAAAUAGGCUCUAGAGCGUGUACAA
RNAcentral lists this ribosomal RNA (346 nucleotides) under Patella pellucida. RNAcentral's name for it is "partial 12S ribosomal RNA". It matches the Rfam family "Bacterial small subunit ribosomal RNA", at positions 870 to 1388 of the family's 1533-position model. The record is from RNAcentral. Lineage: Eukaryota; Metazoa; Mollusca; Gastropoda; Patellidae.